AGUGGCGGACGGGUGAGUAACGCGUGAGAAUCUGGCUUCAGGAGGGGGACAACAGUUGGAAACGACUGCUAAUACCCCAUAUGUCUACGGAUGAAACGGUGAAUUCCGCCUGAAGAUGAGCUCGCGUCGGAUUAGCUAGUUGGUGAGGUAAAGGCUCACCAAGGCGACGAUCCGUAGCUGGUCUGAGAGGAUGAUCAGCCACACUGGGACUGAGACACGGCCAGACUCCUACGGGGGGCAGCAGUGGGGAAUUUUCCGCAAUGGGCGAAAGCCUGACGGAGCAACGCCGCGUGCGGGAAGACGGCCUGUGGGUUGUAAACCGCUUUUCUCUGGGAAGAAUAAGUUGACGGUACCAGAGGAAUCAGCAUCGGCUAACUCCGUGCCAGCAGCCGCGGUAAUGCGGAGGAUGCAAGCGUUAUCCGGAAUUAUUGGGCGUAAAGCGUCCGCAGGCGGCUUAUCAAGUCUGCUGUUAAAGGUCGGGGCUCAACUCCGGUUGGGCAGUGGAAACUGAUAGGCUAGAGUGUGGUAGGGGUAGAGGGAAUUCCCAGUGUAGCGGUGAAAUGCGUAGAUAUUGGGAAGAACACCAGUGGCGAAGGCGCUCUACUGGGCCAUAACUGACGCUGAGGGACGAAAGCUAGGGGAGCGAAAGGGAUUAGAUACCCCUGUAGUCCUAGCUGUAAACGACGGAUACUAGGUGUUG
Molecule: ribosomal RNA, 700 nt
Filed under: uncultured Oscillatoriales cyanobacterium
Lineage: Bacteria; Bacillati; Cyanobacteriota; Cyanophyceae; Oscillatoriales
Description: bacterial SSU rRNA
Rfam family: Bacterial small subunit ribosomal RNA
Source: RNAcentral